This 477-nucleotide ribosomal RNA is filed under the name uncultured bacterium. RNAcentral's name for it is "partial 16S ribosomal RNA". It matches the Rfam family "Bacterial small subunit ribosomal RNA", at positions 28 to 507 of the family's 1533-position model. The record is from RNAcentral.
GAUGAACGCUGGCGGCGUGCCUAAUACAUGCAAGUCGAGCGAACAGACGAGGAGCUUGCUCCUCUGACGUUAGCGGCGGACGGGUGAGUAACACGUGGAUAACCUACCUAUAAGACUGGGAUAACUUCGGGAAACCGGAGCUAAUACCGGAUAAUAUAUUGAACCGCAUGGUUCAAUAGUGAAAGACGGUUUUGCUGUCACUUAUAGAUGGAUCCGCGCCGCAUUAGCUAGUUGGUAGGGUAACGGCUUACCAAGGCGACGAUGCGUAGCCGACAUGAGAGGGUGACAGGAAAGAGUGGGACGGAGAUAGGGGCCAGACUGCUACGGGAGGGAGUAGUGGGGAAUAGUGAACAAGGGGCGGAAGAGAGACGCAGCAAAGAAGGGUGCGGGAUGACGGUUGUAGGGAUGUAAACAGCUUUCGACUGAGACGAAGCGUGAGUGAGGGUAAUGGGUAAAGAAGCAACGGCUAACUACGUG